GGGUUUUCCACACGUGUGCGUCAUUAGCUAUUAGGGUUUUCCAAAAAGAAAAUAGUAGUGUGUUUUCACGCCGUUUCUCUUCGUCUUCGUCUUCGUCUUCUAGCUUCGCAUUUGAAGAUAAUAAUAUGGGUUUCGCUGCGAUUUGGAACUCUCAUCCCAAGAAAUACGGGCCUGGUUCCCGCACCUGCCGUGUGUGCGGAAACUCCCAUGGGUUGAUCAGGAAGUAUGGUCUCAACUGCUGUAGACAGUGCUUCCGCAGCAACGCCAAGGAAAUCGGAUUCAUUAAGUACCGUUAAAAGAAGAUCCGGUGUUGUUUUAUGCACGAGUCGUUUGGGUUCUUGAGUUUUUGGAGACUUUUAUUAAUGGAUCUUAUUUAAUGUUUUUUAUUGAUUUCGAUAAAAAGGCUUUUGAGUAUUGCUCUCUUUAUCGAAUCGAGCUGCCUUAAUCUGUUUGUUUUAACCAGGAAGCACCAGUAAUUUUACAAAUAAAAAUUGAUUAUUUAAUAA
This is an RNA transcript of Raphanus sativus (radish), 506 nucleotides long. It is a transcript of the gene named 40S ribosomal protein S29, with no coding region annotated. NCBI's taxonomy places the organism in Eukaryota, Viridiplantae, Streptophyta, Magnoliopsida, Brassicales, Brassicaceae. The transcript has 4 exons. The record is from RefSeq and is a predicted model, not a curated record.